RNAcentral lists this long non-coding RNA (40157 nucleotides) under Gallus gallus (chicken). RNAcentral's name for it is "lncRNA (ENSGALG00010002175.1)". The record is from RNAcentral. Lineage: Eukaryota; Metazoa; Chordata; Aves; Galliformes; Phasianidae.
CCCUGGGCUUGGCUAGGUUGCUUGGUGAGGAGGGGCCACCAUUGUGAUGACAUGGUCGCAGGGAGCAGGCAAGAAUAUGAGCUGUCCCAGUAUGCAUGCAGCCUGUGGAUUGUACAUGCUUGGACUAAAUGGACCAUUUAGAGAGAUGGUCCAUAGGUUACAGGUACUGCCCCACUUCAUCACAAUGCCUGGGUGAGUCCUGAACCCUACAGGGCACCUGCAGGAACAUUAUGAGAGAGUGAAGGUCAACAACUGCCACACAUGGAUUAAGCCCGUCUGAAUCACCUGACAUGCUGAAAACCAAUGCAGAUGUGAAGAAACAGAAAUAAACUGUUUAUCAGAGAGACUAAACAACAAUCUAGUUUUAGUCGUGGUACCUAUGUAUAAAUACACAACCAUCUUCUGAGCAAUACUGCACACAGAUGCUGUACGCACGUUCCUCAGGAUUGUCUUGUACCAACCACUGUGCUUCACUUCUGUGUCUGGAGAGCAACUGACAUAAUGAGCAUGAGCACCCUGUCGACAACUAAGAAAGUCUCCUACUGCAUAUGUGUACUACCAAAGAUGAUGCUUAACAUAGAGAAGAACAUGCAUCAGUAAGUGUAGAAAAGUCACAACUGAGUAAGUAGUUUUCCUGUCCUAUAAACACUUUUUUCCUGAAAAACACCAUAUAAAUUUGUAAGUGCAUGUGAUAACUAACAUUAUCUCACAUUUACUUGAUGCAAUUGUUGCUUUUCACACUUGCUAGAAACAACUACUUUGUUUUGUUGCUAGUAAAACUGUGGGAGCUCUACCUCAGGGACAGAUAAAGUACUGGGUGAAGUUUUGCAGGAAUAAAGGUAUAUUUUGAUUAGUUACAUAGAAAGAUCUAGGUUUGCCCUAGAAAUCAAUGGGAUGUAGCUUGCAUUUUUAUUAGCUUGCUUGCUGGCAACUUCUUCCUGUCUGUAUGGAUAUUCCCCCACAGGCUGUGUUUGAAUUCACAGAAGGCUGUGAAAGGCCUUGAAGAAGCUGCUACUCUGCUGUAAGAGAGCAUUUGUGUAAAUACUCUUGACUGAGGCAGACGUCUAGAUCGGGCCCUGGUUUCCCCUCUAUUUCCACAGCAGAGGAUUUUAAACCAGCAUUCAAAGGAACUUUCUGUCUACGUGAUAGCUCAGCUAUCACAUAUCUAGAACUGCAAAAUUCAAUACUCUGCUUUCCUGUUCAUUCCUUAUUAUGUUGCUGAGAGUAUUAGUUAGCUUUAGUCGUAAAGUGGCUUUAAGGUUGGACUAUGAAAAGACACCAUAAACUGCAUCCAUAUCAGACAGAGCCAGCUUGCAAUUGUUUACAAAAGGGACCUGCUGCUGGCCAGAGCUGAGCCAAUAAGCAAUGCCAGUGGUACCUCUGUAAGAUCAGGUUUAAAGAAAGGUACAAUGUACCGUGUAGCUUUGUGAGAGAAGAGUGAGAAAAAUGUGAUAGAAACAGCCCCACAGACACAAAGGUCAGUGAAGAACUGGGAAGAGGGUUGGAGCACAGAUUCCUCUACAGAAUACCAAGGUAAAGCAGAUUGUCCCUUGGUAUCUCAUGGAAGAGUACCUGGAGGAGCAGGUGGUUGUGUCCUUAAGGAAACUGCAGUCCAUGAGGAACCCACACAGGGGAAAGUUUUCUGUCAGGAACUGAAUGUCCCAUGAGGUCCACACCAGCGCAGUCUGUUCCUGGUGAAACGUAACUUGUGGAAACAACAAAUGCUGGAGCAGUUCAUAAGGAAUUGCAUCCAAUGGGAGAGACUACAAGCCCCAUUUUCCAUUGCCCAUGCCACUCAGAGGACAAGGAAGUAGAUCAGUAGGGAAUGAAAGAAUGAAGUUGAACCAUCAAAUAAGGGGGCUAUGGGAAAGGUGUUUUGGUUGUGAUUGUUUGUUGUUUAUCUCAAUAUCCUAAAAAUAGAUUUAAUUGGUAAAUUAAUUUUUUAUUCCCUAAGUUGAAUCUGUUUUGCUCUUCACAAUAAUUGGCGAGUGAUCUCCGUGUUCUUACUUCCUGGAGAAAACAGAAUGGGGAUCUUAUCAACACUUAUAAAUAUCUUAAAAGGCAGCUGUCAAGUGCAUGGGGCAGGCUCUUUUCAGUGGUGCCCAGCAACAGAAUAAGGGGCAACAAACAGAAACUGGAACACAGGAAGUUUCAUCUGAACAUGAGGAAAAACUUCUUUACUGUGAAGAUUACAAAGCACUGGAACAGACUGCCCAGAGAGGUUGCAGACUUGCUUCUGGAGAUAUUCAAAACCCACCUGAAUGCUUUCCUCUGCAACACGUUGUGGGGAACCUGCUUUAGCAGGGUGUUGGACUAGGUAAUCUCCAGAGGUCUUUUCCAGCCCCUACCAUUCUGUGAUUCUGUAAUUUGACCAAUGAGAUUAUUUGUUCUGUCUGUCCUACUGAAGAGGGGGAGGGAGUGAGCACCUGGCUCCAUGCCAUGGCUAACUCAACACACUGAAGCAGAAUUAUAAUGGCAGGUGCACUCUUUUAUUAAACAGUUACUUAUUUUUGUACAAAAAUAUGAUGCACUUGCAUUGUACUUCCACUAUAGCCUAAAGGUACUAAUUUGCAUUUAUAUAUUCUGGAAAAAAAAAAAAUUGAUAACUGAUUGUAUUGUCUGACUGUAACCGAAUUGAAAUUCUUGAUCAGUGAGAGGAUUACUUUAUUUUCUGAAGUUUCUGCUUGAUUUUUUUUUUUGCAAUGUAGAAAUCUCUCAUCUCUAAUUGAUGUCUGAUUUCUUUUCUAUAAAUGUCUUCUGCUCAAAAGUCUUCAUUGCAGGCUUUCUGUAAAUUGUGUGCAUUGAUUGUGAAGUUCUUGUCCUUAUUUCCAAAGCCCUGAGUGGCUAUGGUAUUGGACUAAUUUUCUCUUCUGCAUUUUCUAAGCUGUUAAUUACAGUCUGAAUCAUAAGGUUACUUUUUUUUCUGUACUGUAAUUUGGUGAGCUGUGAGUCAUGAAGUUUUUGUAGCUCUGUCCUUUCAACGAUAUUGCAGGAUCCUUUCCUGCUGCCCACUUGGUGUCCUUAUUUAAAAAUAACAUUGAAGAAAGAAGCUUUUGCUUCUACUUUUAACUUGCUAGUUAGUUGUACUUGUUCAGUGCUUCAAGACUUUUUUUUUUGUUAAGGAUAAUAUGCUAGGUUAGUGAGUUCCCCAAGGUACUAGCUGAAAUACAAAUGGUUAUUAAUAAUAUGUAUGUAGUAAUAAACUGAAAAUGGCUCACUAAAAUGUUUUCUGGGCAGAUUUUCAGGUAGAAUAUUGUGCAGUAAAAUAACAAUUCCUUUUAUUUACGGUUAUUACUGUGAUUUUACUAGUAUAUUUUUAUACAAUUAAUGCAAAGUAAAUGACAUGUGUAUGUGAAGGAAAUUGAUUCCUCAUAGCCUAUGCACUUAUCUCUCUUUGACUGCAAAAUUGGGUUUGAUUAUUGUGUUUAAGAUAAGAAAAUGUUGUUUGUUUGUUUUCUUUUUAAAGUCAUAUCUCAUUGACAUAUCCAAAUAUUUAAAAUUUUGUCAUUACUUUUUACUCAGAAAAAUAUUGGAAUAUUUCCCAUUGCUAGAGAGUCAUUCAGACAAAUGUGAGAGUUUUGAGUAGCAAUUGCCACAGAUAGCUGAGUUCCAUGUAUUUGAUUUUUUCCCCCACUAGAAGAGGAAAUAUGAUUGAUUACUACUAGAGAAUGAAGCAGAGGGACUGGCUGAUUUAUGUGAAAGACUUCUGAUUAAAAAUACACAUAAACCUAAAACUCCUCAAAAUAGAUUUCAUAACUCAUAAUUCAAAUUACCCUUUUCUUCUAAGACUGACAGAAAAAAAUAUUUGAUUUUAACCACUUGGGAGGAGAAUUCUUUUGUGGAGUUUUCUUCUUUAAUUUUUUAUAUUUCUAUUCUGUAUGUUCUCAAGCCAUGUAUUAGUUGUAGGAACAGUGAACUAUUGUUAUAGAAUUCCUCAUGUUGGAAAAGACAUUUAAGGUUAUAUUAAACAAACAAAGCAAAACAAUUAAUGAUGUGAGACUCAUGAAAAAUGUGAUAAUUGGCAGCAGUGGAACACAGAAACCAGGACACAUACAUUUCUAUCGUGUCAUAAUAGUCCCCUGCACCCUUCUUUCAUUAUUUUAAGCCUCAGCGUAGGAACCCUCAUAUUUCACUUGACUAACAUUUUCUUCUCUAAAAGAUGUUUCUGUUCCUCUUGAACAGCUUUGACAUUUCCAUUAUUAGCAACAGGCCUCUGCAACUGGUGAAGUGAGAUGCUGGGGGCUAGAGGUGGACUGUGCUUCUUUCGCAGGAAGUUCUGCUGGGUUUGUCUAGGGGCAGAGGCAUAUAAACGAUUCAUCAGAGGUUAAAAAGGUUGCUUGGGUCAGCUGACCCACAGUAAAUAUGCAUCUUAGCUCAGGGCAAAAGUAAAAUAGUUCGACUUUCUUUAAGGAAAGCAAACUUGGUAAACCAUACGUACUUGUAUGGAUACACCACACACUGGCCAACAAUUUGUGUGGACUACUGCACAUGUUUGAAUUGUUCAGCUGUGUAAAAUCAUUUGUCUGUUUGGAUUUUCUGUCUUGCAUUUUCCUCCCAAAGGGACCGUGUGUAGAAACCCUCCAAGGAGCUAUUUCUGUGCUCUGAUUUAUAUUGCAUAAUUAUACACAAUGUUGGGAAUAUUUGAUAGCUGCUGGAACAGCUCUGUUGAUCUGAGUACAUGAGUCUCACUUCUGGCAGCAGUGCCUCCUCUGUACCAGUGACUCUUCUCACAUGGCAGCUCUGCCCAUCUUGUAGUAUCACACUUCUGCUCCUGCCAACUGGCAUGAAUGGUCUUGUGUCUCAUGCUGAAUACUUAGCACUCAGACCCUUCGUGUGCACAUAGUAGAUAUUGGGGCUAAAAUCUGUGAAGAUGAUAUUCUUAUGGCUGCAUGGUUUUCUUUCAACUGUUUCAGUCUCCCUUUUGAAACUACAUUUUUGCAGCUCUCAUUCUAUUUGUUUCUUAUGUGAAAUUCAAAAGAAGUUAUCUUGGGGCCUCAGUUGCCUACACAUCACCUUGUUUAGUUUCAGAAAUGUUCUCUCUUUCAAAAAAAUAAUUUAUGAUUCAAAAGGUGGCUUCUUAGUCAAAGGUCACACUACUCUGUCCAAAAAAAAAAAAAAAAAAAAAAAAUCUAUAGGUUACAGUGUCUGGAAUCAAUCACUGAAGAAUCCAAGAAUCCAUCUCUCUUUGCAUGGCCAAACUGAUCUCUCUUUUGUUGGUUUAGCAGCACGUGGAGUCUAAUAUAUAUAAUAUAUAUCUUCCCAGUUUGGGAGCUCAAUCUUGCACAGUUUGGGCUGUCAGAAUCUGUUGUGUGAAGAUGUCAUAUACCUUACUUGUGGGAGAGUAUUGUAUGUAUUUGAGAAUUGCUGGAAAUUUACAUCCCUCAGAAAAAGAAAUCUGCUGCUUGAGGAACUUGGGAAGAAGGCAGAGGAAAGGAAUAUCUCUGGUAACGUUCUCUGGAAAGAUCAUAAUACUCUACGCAGGAGCAAUGAGAGAGGCAAGGUAAAGCAGAGUUUCUAUACCUGAGAAGAUGAUAUAAGAAAACAAGCUGCAGGUUCACCCAGGGGCAGCCCUUAGCUCUGGUAUAAGGAGAAACUGUAUGGUUUUCACCAGAGCCUAAAGGAAACCAUGUAUCCAAAAAAGGAACAAAUUGGUUCUAUGCAGGACAGAAAACCUUUGGAGUCAAUAGCAGGCAGCAUGAAUGUCUAGCUGUAAAUGUAGACACUGAUUUAUCAGAGAUAUAGUGGAAAGAAGAGAGUUAGCAGGGUACUUUACUAACAGGAAAGAAAACAUAUAUGAAAGGUGAACAGAGAUGUAUUUCAUGUUAGAGACACUUGACAAUCUAGCUGCAUUAAUGCCUCAGUGCACAGCACAAAAUUCAAGCUAGAGUUAAAUCCUACUUUCAGCACAAAAGGAGCAAAAAUCCUUCCAGAGAUCAUGUCAGCUGAGGACCUAACUAAAGAAAAGAGUACUUGGAGAGGUCGCUGUAGUUAUAUUAAAACAAUUUUGCUGGUCUCUGUUUCAGGUAGGAAAAUGGAAAGUCUUCUGUACCAGAACCUUUACUAGAAUCUUUUUUUUUUUUUUUUUUUUUUUUUUUUUUUAGAGAAGAAAAAGGAUCAAUAACAAUCUUCUACAGAAAAUGUGUUAGUAGUUGUUCACAAACAUGGAAAAUUGUGUCUAAAAAUCAUCAGGAUUGGAUGGUAUUCAGCCAAGAACUUUAAGGCAACUUGAGGACAAAACAUCUAAAUUACUGGCUACAUAUAGUUAAUGGCAAGGAUAAAUAACUGUGUGCAACCUUUUGCCUAAGUAUUCUUUGAAAGCAGGUUUCUAGAGGGUGGUAAGUAUAAUUCUAAUUUGGAAACUUCAGGCCUGCAAGCCUAAUGUCUGUAUAGUAGAAGACAAUUCAUGGAUACCUGAGUAAACAUAAGCUGCUUUGGUAAAGUCUUCUGAAAAGUAAGGAUCAUCUUUAGAACUUCUAAUAUUUUUUUUCAGGAAGUCAAUGAGCUUGUAGCUAGUGAUGAUCUGUUUGACAUGAUUUUGGUUUUUGAAAAAAAGCUUUGACAAAUUCCUAACGUUAAGCUUGUAAUGUACUUAAGUGGCCAUGGCACAGGAGGGGAAAAAAUUGGCAUAGAUUAGGAAGAAAGUGAAAAAUAGUAAACAGAUUUUUUUAAUAGUGUUUUUGUUUGUUUUGUUAGAUAAAAAUUGCUGGUGGUGGGAGGGCUCUGUGCUAGGGUAAAUGUAUUCACAGAUCACUAGAAAAGUAAGUUAGCAGUAAAAUGACAAAAUGUGAUGAUGGUACUAGGUUUUUCAGGGUAGGUAGGAUGAGAACUGGAACUGAAAAAUUGCCAGAAGAUAUUAGGAAACAGCAUGACUGGACAACAAAAUGGCAGGUCAAAUGCAUUGUAGAUCUAUAUUAAUGCACACCCAGAGAACGAACUCUGUCUUCAUAGGGAAAGACUCUGUGCUGGUCACCAUUACUAGGGAGUGAUACCUGAGAUCUCUGCUAAAAAGAAUUUUCUGACUAGUAUUUAUCUUCGUUAUGUAUUCCCAAAAGAUGUUGCAGAGAUGCAAAACUUUGUGUAGCCUCAAAGGAGUGAUUGAACAAAUACUUAGAAUGAAUGUUUAUUGUUGAUUACUAAACAGACAAACUGCAACAUGCUCAGGAAAUCUCCUGAACCAUAACUGAUCAGAGGACAGGAAAGCAACAGACCAAAAAUUACAAAGAUUUGCUCUGUUGUUACUCUUCUCUAAAAGAGUAGUUAUUCUGUAGUAUUCUUGCUCAUAGCUACUAUCAGAGAUGAAAUAGUCUAGACAGACCCUUGUUUUCAUCCUGUAGGGCUACUCUUUUUAUGUGUUUGUUGUUGUUGUUUGUUUUGUUUUGUUUUGUUUUUAACUUUUGGAAGAUUCUUAGAGUACAUCAAGACAUUGAUGUAACAAUGACAUAGAGACACAAGACAUCUUUACCUUGUCCUGCUGUUUUGGCCCUAGAUGAAGAGAUUAUAGCACACAUUAGUGCCAUACUCUCCCAUGCUUGCCAUACUAACAGUUACUUGCACAAACAAGUGGAUGGCACAGAGCUGCCCACAUCAAAUCUGUGCUGCUUUGGAUCUCUCAGAGUUGAUAAAUGCUCGUGGGUAGGUCAUUUCCAAAUAGUACUGGCUGUUUGAUUUUCAUAUUUUGAUUUUCGUAUUUUAUAUGAAAAGUCAGAUAUGUACUCUUAUUUAUAAGCCUCUUGUAUUAAAAUUCAUUUUUAUUUUUCCCACCAACUUUCAGAAGAGAAAGUCUUGAUGCCAAUAGCUCAAAUAUCUGAAAAUCAGGAAAAAUUAGAAAAAGUAGUAGCUGGUUUCUGAAAGCUAUGGGAUUCCAUAUUUAGACUUUUCUUUGUGUGUGUGAAUCUGGUUUCUACCUUAAUUCUAGGGUGGAUAUUACACUUCGUAAAAAAAAAAAAAAAAAAAAAAAAAAGCAGGUACGUUUUUUUCACUGUUUAUUUGAGCUCCAAGGUAAUAAUCUAUAUUAACUGUUUUAUACCUUUGAGUCAGGAAGGCACUCUAUGGUUGACUGUUAUUGAGAUCUUUCAGAUAAGCUGUACAUUUGCACUCAUUAUAAAUUAUUUCACAAGGAGAAUGAGAUCAGGUUUGAAACAGAAUUUCUUACAACCACAUAAUAACUUAUCAGUCUUAUUGACAAGCAUUUUGCAAAACAAUAGUAUUGUGCACAGCUUAUGUAUGAGCAAAUAGAAUUACUGCUAACAUCUUUUAAGGCACUUGUCACACACUUUCCCCUCAGUCAAACACUGUUAGCUCACUAAUCAAUCUGCUUGUCAAAAAUGCUCUUCUUUGGCAGAAGAGACUGAGAAGUUUGACAAACUGCAUUAAGUUGGUGAUGUUGAUUAAUGCUUUUCAGUUAGUAGCAUUUUGUUGAACACUAUAAAUUAAGAAUUUUGAUGACAGCUGGCUUUUCAUAAAUUACAUACAAGAGGAGCUUAUCAUUGCAAUGAAGCAAUUUAUUUUUCCUUUCCAAGAUUUCUUAUGACUGCUUCAUGUGAGUUUCUGUUGCGUAAAUUCUUUAUUUCUUUUCUUUCAACUGUUAAAAUGUAAAUAGCACACUUUGAACUCAGUAAUCCUUGGUGAAAAAGAAAGAAAGAAGAGAAAGAAGCUUGAUUCUGAAGCUGCUGAUUUUUCUUGAUUUUUUUUCAAAGCCAAAGAACUGUAAGGACAAAACUGAAGAGGUAUAAGCCUUUUCAGUAUUUUUGCAUAUCUCAAAUGUUUGUCAUUUUCUGUAAGAGAUUUGCUAAUGCAAGGAACUCACAUACAAGCAAUAGUCCACAGAAGUUUCUUUAGUGAUUAUUCUAUUAAAUUUAGGAGUUUUUAUUGCUUUUGACUUCAUUCAUUUUUUUUUAUCCAGUACCUGAUUUAGUAGUGCCCUGUGGCAGAGGAUUGGAAUUACAUGAUCUCUUACAACCCAAGUCAGCCUUCUUCUACCACUUUCUCUCUGCCGUAUGAUGUGUGAGAGAUGGGGAAUGGGUGCUAUGGUCAGUCCUUACAAGUUCCUCUCUGCUGCUCCUUCCUCCUUAUGCUUUUCCCCAGCUCCAGCAUGGACUUUCAUGGGCUACAAUCCCUCAGAAUAAAUCUGCUUCAGUGUGGCUCCUUCCCACAGGCUGCAGUCCUUCAGGCUAAAUAUGCUCCGUAGUGGGCUGUCUAUGGGCUUUUACUUUCUUUGGAAAAUAUUCACCUGUUCUGGCAUGAGAUUCUCUAUGGGCUGUAGUAUUGAUAUCUGCUCGAUUUAGGGUUUUCUCCUUGGUCUGCAGGGAAAUAAUCUUUAUUUAAAUUUUCUUUAAAUUGCUUUUAUGCUGAUCAAAUUAGGUGAGAACCUGACGUUUUGUUUUUUUUAACAGAAAAACAAACUACUGGUUUCUGUGUGGCUUCAUUCGCAGUCACAGAAAGUGAGUGAUAGUUUAUCUAACUGAAACUACAGGAGGAUUUUAAUUAAGCAGAAUGUAAUGAUUAGAAUUGCAAUUUUGAAAGAAAACUGGGGCUACCACUCCCAACUAAGCAUGUGUUUUGACUAAUGUUAAAAGCUUUGUUUUUCUAACUCAUAUAGAUUUUAAGACAAUUCACUUAUAAAAGGAGAAAGGAGACAAGAAAGAAAGAAAGGCAGUGGGAUGCCAGUGCUUCCUUAGUUUUCCUGAACUCACCCAUGCAGUGGUUUUCCUCCUAAGUACUAAUGAAACCAGAUACUGCUUUACUUCCAAAUGGAACAAUACAAUUAGAAGCCACAUCCAUAAUAGCUUUUGAAACUAUUUUGUUAAUCAGGCACUUCUGCUGCUGAGUCAGCAUGGUAUGCUCACUGUAAAUUCACCACUUACAUAUCCUGAGCAAUGUUUUUAACUUCAGUGUUCAGACUCUGGAAAAGGCUACGGGUGACAGUUCUUCCAUGAAGAAAUGUUUAUGCUGUUGAUAUUUAUUGCUACUUUCUUGUCUUUUCCUUUCUUUUCUUUUUUUUCUCUAGUUGUUAAAUUGUUUUUUUGUUGUUGUUGUUGUUGGUAAAUAUUAUUAUUUGGGAUUUGUAUCUUUAUAUGGAGGAAUGAAAAAAUAAUUAUUUGCUGUGGCAUUUUUAGAAGUAAAUUGAACAUCCUACUGGGAAUAAUGCAAUGUUUUUACUCUAUGCAUUUUGUCACCCUACUAUUUGGAUUUACUUUCAUUCCCACACAGUGUUCCUGGAAUCCCCAAGCAAAAUCUCUAAUGUGUUAGCAUGCUGACCUUUGCUUUGGUUGUAGGCGCAAAUGUUAAUAGAAACAGAAAAAGAGAAGUAAUCGCUUUUAUUUCUCACUCUCUUGUUCAACAAACUAGCAUUUAUAGAAAGAAGAUAUUGUUCAGUUACUAAGUCAACUUGAACACUGAUUUUCCUGAUGUCUGUCAUCUAGGCUACUAACUUUUUAAAGAUGCUUCAUUAGAGAUACUAGACAGGUACCAUUUUCUUAUUUCACAUUGACUAGUUCACAGUAAUGGCUGUGAAGCUAGAUUAAACCCAGCAUUUUAUAGGUAAAAAUCUGGUUUACAGUCAUUAGUUAUAUUACCUCCAGUUCCCUGGAAUUCUGUAGUACUCUCCAACUGCUUUUCAAGUGUAGGGUAAAAUGAAAGGGAAUUAAGAGCAAAUGAUACAUGUAAUUAAGGCCCCAUUGUGAUUACUAUUUUAAUUCUGUGAUGGGGGAAAAUAAUGUAGAUAGCCAAGUCUGAAAAUUAGGUUAUUAAGCUUUCUGUUUAGUUUAGAUUUUUCUCUUUAUUUUUAAUUUAGCUACAAAAAUGUUAUUGUUCUGUUUCUAUUAUUGCCAUUGUUUUUAACUUUCUUCCUUAAUUCAUUCUUAUCCUUCUAAUCUGCCCUAGAGGUGUACCAUUCAUGAUUUUUAUAUUCUGAAAACUACAAAUUGCUGUAAUUUCCUUCACAGUGCUACAUAUUACCCUAGUGAAGUAACCCAAGCUGAGUGCAUUGCUGUAAAGGGUUUUCUUUGAUUUUUUUCUGUGCUCUUUUUAGAGACUUGGCACUGAAGUGGGGAACCAUUCUAAAAAAAAACAAAAAUAAAACCAACUAACCAAACAAAAAAAACCUACAUGGACUACAUGGACCUUGUUUUGAUACCAAGAAUGGCAUUAAUCUUUAUGCAGAUAUAAAUGGAAGUUAGCCAGCAUAUUUCAAUAUACUCUAUGGUUUUGAACUGACGUGGUGUUAGAAACUGAAAUAUAUGACCUAAAGGAUAUUUUUUCAAAACAAGCAGAAGGCCAACAUUUAUGCUAUUCCUGACUACUUGAGACCACCAAAUCCCAUACAGUUAGUCAUGAAUUAGGUGUUCUCUACAGUCUCUGUAGUCUCUCAACAUGAGAGACAAAGAUGGUAAGGCUUCAGCCUUUUCUAGCAGGUCUUCCAUUGUAUUUUUUUAAUGAGUUUGUUUGAAAACAGGAUGAACAGAGUGGAUGAGUUCAGAAAGGGAUAAGAGUAGUGCAUGUCAAAAUGCCUGAGUUUUAUAUGUCAAAGAAUAAAAGAAAGGAAACUUAGGGACAAACCAAGAAAGAAGAUAUAAGAAUUUUAGGUCUAGUAAAGAAAGCAGUGGAGAGAGCUAAACAUAUUUGACCUGGGUGUUGCAGAAGCCCUGUCUCAUUUUGGAAGAGAGCUGAGAGUGAUACAAUACACAAGAAACCUACUGAAACAUUUAAAAUUAGCUAUGAUGAAGAUACUUCUGAAGGCAUCGGUACUAAUGUGCUUGAAUUUCAGAGGCUAUUCUAUAGAGUCUGUCCUAGUUUCAGCUGGGAUGGAAUUGCUUUCUUCAGAGUACUUGGUAUGAUGCUACGUUUUGGUUUUAGGAGAAAAACAGUGUUGAUAACACACUGAUGUUUACUGUUUUUGCUAAGCGGCGCUUAGCUGAGCCGAGACCAUUCACAGCUAAAGGAGGCCCAAGGAGCUGUGAGGGAACAGAAUUAAGACAGCUGACUUAAACUGGUCAAAUGGAUGUUCCAUGCCAUAUGGCAUCAUGCAGAAGGAGUUUUGAAAAGAGUUAGGGUUCUCUUUUCCACUGCUUGGGGGCCUGGUUGGUCAUUGGUUGGGGGGUGGGGAACAAUUCCUUGUGUAACAAUUGUUACAUACAUUCAUAUAUAUAUAUAUAUUUGUUGCAACUAUAAUCCUUUUCUUCUUCUCUAUUUUAGUAAAUAAAAGUUCUACCUUUUUUUUUUUUUUUUUUUUUUUUUUUUCCUGAUUCUCUCCCUUAUCCCACUGGGAAGCUGGGGAGUGAGCAAACGACUGUGUGGUGCUCAUCCACCUGCUGAGUUAAACCACAGUAGAGUCGUUGGCUUUUAACUGUUUUAUGCUAUAGUAGUCUUAAUGAUAUGAUGCAUUCCCUGAGCAGGCAGAAUUUCAUUCAUCUGAGGAGAGCUCCUUGGGAUGUCUCUGAGGUAUUUCAAGGAAGUACUAAUGUUGAAAUGUUGGAUGUGUUCAUUCUGCAUUAUGAUGAAUUUAAUUUUAGUGAACACAGAGGCCUCUGCCCUGUUAAUUUAUAUAUAAAUACAGAAAUUAUAGAAGGGCCCAGAGGAACACAGUGCCACUAAUGCAGAAGUGUGUUAGAUAUUUAAAAUAUGUGCUUCAAUUCCUGCCAGCUGGCCUUUGCACACUAUGUGCACCAAAUAACCCAGUAGCUGUCCCUGUGGAACAUAAUUUCUAAUUUUAAGUUUUAUUGAUUAUUCUUUUGGAACCUGUUACGUAAUUUCUCUAUAGACCCAGACUCCAUAAAAGAAGUCUAUGCAUUCAUUAAUACUCCAAAAAUAUGUAUCAGACACUUUCAUGUUAUACUAAGCCCAAAUGCAGUUUAUGUAAAAGCAUACAUUUAAAACCAAAACUGCGAAAACAUGUAUUCUACUGGAGUACCUACAUUAUUCCUUGAUUGGACAUAUCCUUUAAAUAAGACUUUCCCCCUUUCAUUUAAACUGAAUUCUCAGAGAAUCCAGAAUGAGAUAAAAUAUACUCAGUAAUAAAAAUAAUCAUUCAAGUGUUGAUGCAUGUCAGGAUUCUAUUAUGAUGAGUUAUUAAGGUAUCUUAAUAUGCAGGAUGAGAUUAGUGACUUCAUUCACAAUUGAAUUUUUAGUUGUUGAGGUCAAUAUUGUUAUAUAUGUUGGUUUGGCUUAUUUUCAAGCUUUCGAGUAUGAGAGGAAAUAAUUUUUUCCUAUUUAAAAAAUAAACCUUCCUUCCUUGAUAAUGGAAGGAAGCUUGUAGGCUGAAGAAAUUUCUAGAUGUACCACACAUUAUCUUUUUUUUUUCCAUAAAAAAAAAAAAUAUAAUUUCUCACUGAAACAAUUUAAAGGUCUGAAGAUGUAACUUUCAGAUCAAAUAAAUGUCUCAUAGCAAUUUCCCAAUUUAAUAUGAAAUGGAAAAGUGACCUCCAAGGUUAAAGGAGUAUAUGUAUGGGGUGUUAUAUGGCUCUUAGAAACAGCCAAAAAUCCUCCCAGGAAACAGAUUCCAGAGAAUGCCACAGUCAUUAACUUAGGUAAGAGCUCAAUCCAGAUAGUUUAAGUAGUUUAAUGAGGCCAAAGGGAUUAGAUAACAGAAGUUAUUUUAGUAUUACCAAUCAUCUGUAACUAAAGGUUUCCUCAGAAAAGCUUUAUUGCGUAGGAAAAGGCAGGCCAACAGGUAGGUUAUAUCUCUCUGAAGAAAUCAUGGUGAUAGGAGGAGAAAGAUUCAUCAUGAAUUAUUAUGGUGGUUAAACCAAAUUCUCUCUUUUGACUGCAUACAAAUUAGACAUUUCCAUGGUUUCAAUGGUCCUUUAAGUCCUUAAUAAAUGUUAACAUAAUAAUGAGAUUACAAGUAUGAUUUUAAAAACUGAGUUUUUCCCUUACACUGUUCCAAGUUUUUUGGAGAUGGAUUCAAAUAUUUUGUAUAUUGCCUGUACCCUAAAAUAUCACUUCGAGACUUCAUGCUGUCGUCCACAUUUUAAAAGCAAGGAGUUAUAAUGACAGAUCACUUCCAACUCCUACAGGUUUUGAUUUAAUUUAGACUAAUUUUAUUUGCAAGAACCUGUAAACUCCUAUCCAUUUGUGCAAAUCUGACCGUUUGGCUUAUUUGUGUGUCCAUAUUUUCCUCAGAUUCUGAGCAACAUGCUGCAAGAGUUAUAUUUUGGCAUACAGGAAUUUUAGAUUUGGGGAAAACAUACAACUUCUUAGCAUUGCAUUCACCACAUUCUUUUCUCUACUGCACUUUUGAAGUUAAAAAUAUAUGAAUGAAGUUUUGUAUUUUUUUUCCCUUCUCUCCCUCUUUUCCCUAUGGCAGAUGUGUUAAUCUACCUGUGGAAUCAGAAGUAAAUUUUACAGCAUUUUUCUGAAGGUUCCUCUUGAAGAAGUCUUGUACAGGAGACUAAAGCUUCCACAGGAAGGAUCAUGAAUUUGUUACGUGGUAAUGGAAAUUAUUAUACAUGCUGCAUGGUGAUAUAGAUGUGAAAUGGGUAUUGUGUUAUUUUCUGAAGUCUUAGUGUUUUCCUUCUGUUCCAGUUCUUAGUGAUCCAUUUUGCUCAUCUAGUAGAGCAGUACAGCAUUUAUUAUCUACAUACAAAAGAAGAUGUAGAUUUAGAACUUUAUUCUGUCAAGCAAUUACUACUUUUAUGUUAAAUAGAGCUGUGCAGAAAUAAUGAAUGCUUUUAAAGUGUUAUUAUGGAAGCCCAGUUUGAUAAUGGAAAAGCUGAUUCAGGAUAGUUCAGAUUUGGAAGUCAGUUUGGGUAUGUCUUAUGGUAUGCAUGCAACAGGAGCAUCAGAGUUCUUCCUCCUCACACUGUCCAAUUUAUUUUGUAUUUAUUUCAUGAAUGGAGUGACAAGCAAAGUGAGGAUGCCCCUUUUUCCCUUUUCCCAGUUUUAGCGCGAUACUGCAUUUUCUGCACAGUGUUAUCUAGCUUCAUCUCUCCACUUACUGAGAGAAACCAAAGCUUUUGGCUCUGUUCUUGCUGUUUCUUUGUAAAGAUGUAGUGCUUUUGGUGCAGCAUUUCUUCUUUGAACUGGCAUUUCCCUUCUCCUCCAGGGAAAUGCUGUUGGGCUGACCUAUUCAACUGAUGUACCCAAAUGCUGGCUGAGUGCAUCCCAUAUCAAGUGCUUGACAUUAUUUGGUGACUUGCUCAUUCCCUUUGUGCUACUGGGUCUACUGUGGGAUUCUCAUAUGGAUUUAUAAAGCCAUCAAUUUGUUAGGCCGUGCUAUCUCCCUGGUGAAUCUCUUUCCCAGAUAGCAUUGAUUAUCCAACACUUGGUGUUUUGAGGUUUCUCAAAAUAAAGUUAUAUUUCUUGAAACUUUUCUCAAAACAAGCUGGGUGGAGUUUCACUAUUCACAUAUUCACUACAGAAGAAAUUUCUUCCACACUUUUAACCAUGUAUUUUUUCUUUCUUUUUUUUUCUUCUAAUACUAAAGUCCCAAAGGUGAAGCUUGUGUUGGGUAGAAAAGUGACAUCCUGGUCAAAAUUGGGAAGUUUAACUUAAAGCUUUACCCGUGCAUACAUAAUAAGUUAGUCUUUUUUUUUUUUAAUAGCUUGCAAGCUAUGUUUCAGCAUUACAAAAUUGGCAUUUCAGAAUUGCAAAUGAAAGCAGUCCAGUUGAAAUAUCCAUUACAGAAUGUGGCAUAAUGUAUGGCUUCCAAAAUAAAGAAUAUGAUGUGGAAAAUAUCUUUAUAUAUUCAGGCAUCCUGCAUCACCAACAGGCAUCCAAAGUUGGUCCAGACUGCACCUCUGCUGCCAUCUAUCGCACAGCAACAUCACAUAGUGGAAUAUUUGCCGUGAAGUUCAACUUCUACUGCCUUACCAUCAACAUCCUUCUCUGACAUCAUGAGCCAACAUAAUAAAAUAGCAGGCAGCAUUUAAUUCAAUACUGGGAAAGCAGCAGUUGGCAGUCUGAUUCUCCUUACCAUAUGAUGACUAUUUCCCUCAAAUCAAAAUCAAGCUGCCAGUUCUAGAGACUCUUCUCAAAGCAAAUAGCGUCAAUAAAAGAAGUGUGGAGAAGUGAUAUGAAUAGCAGGUGUGCCAGAUCAGCCACAUCAUCAUCUGUGGGUAGGUGCUUUUUGGUUUUUGUCGCACUCUCCUUUGUUUGACCUCUGGUGUCAGAGGACUUGGUUGGCAUCUCUGCCUCGCUAAUCAUCUCUGACAUGUGGCUGGCACUGGCAAAUUUACUCAAAAGGAUGUGCCUGCUGUAUUCUGCAUUGGCCUUCACCUGUUGGAGGCAGAUAAGUGCUGUAUAUUUUGAAUCGGGUAUAAAAAUGUAAUGAAUACUUCGUAUACUGCUUUGCUUUGUAACUCUGGUUCACGAGUUCUGUCUUCUUCAGACCAAUACAAGUACUGCAGUAAGUCAGUAAGUCAGUGCUCUUUCAAAUAGCACUUCUUCCCUUCUCAAGAUAAACAAAACAUGUGAUUAGAUUUGGAAGGCAUCAACAUUUUAGUGUAUCCAGGAGUUUGUUUCUUUUUCUUUUUUUUUUUUUUCCCUACAGAAAUAUUCACAUUUGGACUUCAGGGGUGAAAUCCAGGACUCUUUGAAAUCAAUAUAUUUUCACAGAUAUUUUAACAGAGAUGAGAAUUUUCUGCUAAUCUUUCUUCUUUCAGCUACUUCUUCUCAGAAGAGUUACAUACAGACAGAUUUUUUGUACGUACUUUUUUUUUUUUUUUUUUUUGAGUUGGCUACAAGUUAGAAAAUCCCCUACAGCUAAAGUUCAGGCUGAGGAAACAAGUGAUUUUUAUGGAUUAUCUAGUGAGUUUAGUCAAGGAUGCCUGUGCUUGUGUCCUGUGGGAGAAGCUUGUAAUAAGCCUUGAUAAAUCAGUACUCAUAUGCAUGCAUCUUCCCUUUUGCCUGCUAAGACUAAACAGAGCUAUUUCUCAAUUCCCUUUCUGCUAGUGAAUCACAUCAAAGAUUUGAAAGGGUGAUGGGGUUUUCUUAUUCAAAUGAUGUAUUCAUUGACUUUCUUGAUUAGUGUCUUUACAUUUUAUCAAUGAGCACUUCUCUGAAUUUCAAUUACAUGUUUCCAUUGAAGAAACUGUGAGGGGGAAAAAAGUGGUUUCAGUAAUGAUGGUAGUCAGUUGAAAAAGUGCUGUGCAGGUUGACUGUCAAACAUAUUAAUACUUGCUUUAACAAAAUGUUUAAUUUUUAAAAUAUUUUGUUGUUAUGCUUUUAUUUCCAGAAGUGUGAACAUGCACUGGCAGAUCCUUAUUCUUUCUGUGCUCAGUUAUAAAUGUGGUAGGACAUUUAUGUUCAAAAAACUACCUACAGCCUAAUUGCAGAAGAAAGGAACGCUGCAGGUCCUGCCUGAGAGGUUGAGCUGAACACUUUUUUUUUCUGGCUUACUGGUCUGGAAGAGAUUCAGAUAAGCUGAAAUCUUUUCAUGGCGCAAACUUUUGAAAGUAUAGAUCUUCCUUUCCAACUAACAUUAUGCAAGGACUGAAUCGUUGGCAUUCUGAGCAUUUGAGUUACUAGUUGCUAGUGCCACCUGCAACUUUGGCCAAAAGAUAAGAAGGUGUUUGCUUGUUUAUAUAUCAGAAAAGGAUUUAAUGGGGAUAAGUUUAAUAUGCAGUAUUACACUUUUCAUUGUUUCUAAUUAAAUCACAAAUACAAUCUGCAUAUUUUGGUGAGAAUACAGUAUUUUCUAACAGAUUUUGGAUAAAAUGACCUAAAACAAUCACAGCAAUAUGAAGGCUAGUGGAGAAGUGGGUGGAGAAUCAACAUAAAAAAAUAAUUGUUUCAGUGACGUUUCUAAUGUCUGAUAUGGCAUUUCAUUUUCUCAUUUAGUGUGUAUAGAUCUUAGGAUUUUUAGUUAAAUGAAUCUAUAGUAGGUUGGCUGUUGAGCAUGGCUUGAUAUCUUUUCUAGAGGACAAAUACAGGGAAAAAAAUACCUGUGAAUGUUAUCCAGAGAUAUUUGAUCACAUUCUUAAGAAGCUGGCUGGAAUCUUAGAAAAACAUGUUUCCUCAAUGCUCUUCAUGAGUUAAGUUGCCCUGCAGAAGAACUUCUGCUAUUUCUGUUGGGGAUUGAGAGUGUCUUUAUUUCCUUGUCAGUUGGAAACUGUUUUACUGUAUAAUUAUAAUCAUAUGUUGGAGCACACAAAUAUAAAGCUUUGAAAUUAUUAUUGUGAGUUUUAGUCUAAGAAAUUUAUGUUCACAAUAAAGAUGACUUUUUUUUAUAUGCAUAAAACAACUUUGGGGCAAUUUUCUCCCUAGGAAUGCUCCAUAGUUUUGUUGCUCAAUAGCCUCCUGGGAUGUAAAAAAAAGGCUAAAAAUAAAUGCUGUUUCCCGUCAGACAGAAAAUGAGCAUUCUGCAUAACUGUUUCCAAGGUGAGUACUCUCUUCAUGGGAUAGGCAUCUGUGCUUCUGUGUCUUUUCUGGUGUAGUAUUAACAGCUCUAGAGGGCGAGACACACUAGCAAAGAUUAAAAACAAACAAACAACAACAAAAAAACUUGCAGACAUUUAUUCAUUUCUUAACUAGCAUGUCCACUGAGGUUUGGGAAGCCUGUAGGAAUCUCCAUGGAAGUCAACCAGCCUACCUUCAGGCUAUGAAUUUUGGUUGGUGAUGCUUACUCUUUGCAGUUUUAGUUUUCAUAGAAUCACCAAGGUUGGAAAAGAUCCCACAGGAUCACCCAGUCCAACCAUCCACCCAUCACCAAUAGUCCUCAUUAAACCAUGCCCCUCAACACAAUGAUCAAACAUUCCUUGAAAACCUCCACGGUUGGUGACUCCACCACCUCCCUAAGCAGUUUUUGAUGCUUCUUUUUAAUUCCUAUUUAUAAAAUAGAGGAAAACAACACUUCUGUUUUAGGACUGUUGUGAAAAUAAAUACAUUAAAGCUUGUAUAUUCAUAUACUAAUGUAGUUAUGCAUAUCUAAAUAAAGUAGGAAUGAGUCACCAACUUUGAAUUCUGUAUGACUGUUAUUUAGCCUUAUACAUUCAAGCUAACCAGUGAGAAGAAAGUCCAGACUACUAAUUUGCCAUGAGGGAAUAGCAUAUCUCUGAAUCAAACAGAUUCUUUAGCUGGUGUAGGUACGGAUUUGGGGCUAGGAACAUUAAUAGCAAUUCAGUAAGGCACAUGGCAAUUGUAAUUAUUUUAUGCUAUAAAAAGAUACAAGUGACCCUGAAAAUCCUAUUAUGAACCACAAAAUUAAUGGCAAGGCUAAAAUAUUAUAGUUUUAUGUGAACCAUUUCAGUUAAUUUCAGAUUUUAUAUAUAUAUAUAUAUUUAAGUCCAUGAUCAUCUUCAGAAUGUAGAAUGAAUUUUAUAUUUUUCCCUCAGUUUGAGGGAUUGUUUCCUGAAGUUUAGAUUAUUAUGAGCCAUGUUAUCAAUAAAAUCUCCCUUCCCUCCAUACACAGCUAAUUCUACUUCAGUAGAUCAGUCUGUAUGAAUGAGGCAACAGACUGUAUCAUUUUUGUUGUUUAGAUACUGAGAGGCAAAUAUACUUCAUCUCUAGAAUUGGAUCUCUCUUUCUUUCAUUAAUAGUAUUGUAACUAUAAAAUAGAUUUCAUGGGACAACUGGAGUUUGAAAGUAUAGAAAAAAGUAGAGUGGAAUAAGGAAAAGAAUUAAUUAAUAUGUGGUCGUAUUACUUAUUUCACUUAUAUAUUUAUUGCUACAGUAAUAAGGCAUUAGCACUUUUAAUAGAGUAGAUCGUUAUUUACCUUUCAUAAUUUUUGAGUUUGUGUAUGUGUGCAGGAGUUUGUCAGAGUGCUACACAGAGCUUAACUUUUAUAUUUGCAUUUCUUAACAGUGUCAGUUUAUGUUCUGCCACCAGGGAUUGCCUCAUCCCAUGUAAUCCAGAAUGUCUAUAGAUUGAUCUCUGUGCCUGAGGAAUAUGAAGAAAUUCCCCCAUACUCUGUAAUUUCUUGAACAUUGAAUGCAUUGGGAUCAGACCACACAUAGUGAUUUUUAUCUUUGAAGUAUUUCUUUUUUUUUUGUUUUAUUUUUUAUUUUUUUAUUUUUUGCAUUGAAAGACUCCAACCAUCUCUACUAUUGUUUAUAAUAUGAAAGUAAUUAAAAUUCUAUUUUAUCACUUAAUCACCGAAAUGGUUAACUUACAUUAUUGCUGUCUCCCAGUCUAUGCCAUUGUUCUUUUCCAGGAGAAGAAAAUUCUACAAAGCAGCAGAAAGGAAGUGCAAUUCAUUAUGCACGGAGCUUUCUUUAUCUUAAUCAGUUCUGGUAAUUUACGUAAGAGGUUUUGUCAUUAACUGCGUUUUCUUUGAAGAAAUCCCUCCCAUAGCCUAAUCUAGUUUGCCACUUAUUUAAAUGCCUGUGAUGGUAAAACAGAACUACUUUCUUCAGAGUGUUUGAAAAUUAUUAGAAACUCUAGUCUGAAUGUGUGUAUAUAUAUACUUUCGUCAGACAAAAUAUUAUUGUAAGUGAAUGCUAUGUUGUCAUCUUCUAAUUAGACUGGUCUAUUAGUCAAAUUUAAGUUUCAAGUGGACUGGAGGAUGGAGAAGUGUAUGUAAUGGGAGGCACAUAAUAACCUUGUUAACCACUAAAAUGUCUUUCAGGAUUGAGCACUGCAAGGAGACUGACUACAUGCAUGAGAGCUGCUCUGAUAGUAAUGCCUCCUAUUUUAUUAUGUUAGCUCAUAAUAUCAGAAGUGGUUGGUGGUAUGGCAGUAGAAGUUGAACCUUCCUACCAAUAUUUUGUUAGAUUCUGUUGCAAUGUGACAGAUGACAGCAGAGGGAGAGUGAGACAAAUUGGCUUUUGACAUGGAAGUGCGUAUGAAGCAAAAAUAUGUCAUUGAAUUCCUCCAUAGGGAGAAAAUGUCACCCAGUGAUGUUCACUGAAGUUUGCUGAAUGUUUAUGGAGACCAUUGAAUGUCAGCACACCAAGGUAGUGGGUGGUGCGUUUGAAUAGUGGUGACAGUGGAUCAGCUCCACUGGUGCAGAUUAUUAUGAGCGCAGCAUGCAUGCUCUUGUUCAUCAUUAUUGAAAAUGUAAAGCUAAUGGUAGCGAUUAUGUUGAAAAAUAGUGUUUUGUAGCUGAGAAUUUGCUCUAUCAAAUACUGUUAUCUUUGUUGUAAUUUCCAUGGAAAGAAAUGUAAAUCUGAGAAGAGAGAAGAAAAUCAGCAGGGAAUGUCAAUGUAACCGAAAUCCAGGAGCAUAUCCAGCUGAAGGGAGUUCACAGAUUAAGAUCAAAGAAGAACUGAGUGUUAGAAUAAAAGAUUUCAUUUGAGACUUUUCAAGUAUAAUUUGGAGCAGACCAUCUUGAAUGUCAUCACACAGCACAUACAGGACAACCAAGCUAUCAAAUGAAGCCAGCAUGGGUUUGUGAAAAGCAGAUCCUACCUGACUAUCCUGGCCACCUAUGAUCAGAUAACUUGAUCAGUAGAUGAGAGAAAGGCUAGGGUUAUUGUAUACCUUGAUCUUGGUGAGUGUUUGAUGCUGUUUCUGACAGUAUUUUCCUGGAGGAUCUGCCUGUUUUUGGCUUGCGCAGGUGUAUAUUUUUCUGGGUGUUGAACUGCCUGGAUGGCCAGGCUCAGAGAGUCAUAGUGAAUGAAGUUCAGUCCAAUUGGCAAUGAGUCACCAGCAACUUUUCCCAGGGCAUGGUACUGGGAACAGCUUUAUUUAACAUUUUCAUUAAUGAUUUGGAUGGGGGGUGCAGUGGAAUUGCCAAGUUAUGGCCUGAACCAAUGGUUGAGCACCAGGUGAGAAAGGCAAGACUAACCCAGGGAGCUCAUGUGCAAGCAAUGCACAUGAGUGACUAGAAGGAAAUCAGUCUGGAUCCACCGCUCCUUACUCUCAUUUAAGGGCUAGCAGCUGAGGGAGCACCGUUUCUCUGGAUAGAGGUUGCACUCCUCUUGAGCUGUCGCUGAUUGUUGGAAGGCGUGAGCCAAUUUUCCUUCUUUGCUACCUGCUAUUGUUCUGUAGUGCCUGUAUCCCAUUCAAGCACACUGUUAUUGCCUUCUUUCCCCAUACAGGGGAAUUUAAUGAACCCUCAGAAGGUUCCCUGACAAUACCAAAUUAGGUGGAACCUGCAUGAGAGUUGGCAGGCUAUGCAGAGACAUCUGAAUUAGUAGAUUCAGUGGGCCAAUGAAUUCAAUCAUAUGGUAUUUAAGGAAGGUGAGUUGCUCAGUCCUGCACUUCAGUCAGAAAAACCCUGUGCAGUGAUAUAGGCUGAGGAAAGAGGACUUGGGGAUGCUAGUCAAUAGCUGAACACAAGCCAGCAGCGAGCCCAGGUGGCCAAAGUGACUGAUGAUAUCCUGGCCUACAUUAGAAAUACUGUGGACAGCAGGAUGAGGGAAAUGGUAAUCCCAUUGUACAGCGCUGGUGAGACUACACUUUGAAUACAUUGUUCAGUUUUGGGCCCCUUACUUCAAGAAAGCUGUUGAGUUGUUCAAACAUAUACAGAUAAGUGAAAUGAAGCUGGUAAAGGGAUUAUAAAACAAGAAUCAUGAGGAGCAGCUGAGGGAACUGGGGUUGUUUAGUCUGGGGAAAAUAAAGCUGAGAGUGGAUCUCAUCUCUCUCUACAACUUCCAGAAAGGAGGUGAUGGGUGACAGGAUGUGAAAUAACAAACUUUUAGAAUUUCUUCCCAGAGAGAGUGUUCAAGAACUGGAACAGACUGCCCUGGGAAGUGGUGAAGUCCUCAUCCCUGGAGAUAUUUAAGAGAUGUGUGGAUAUGGUAAUAAAGAACAUGGUUAGAUGAUGGUUAGAUGACUUUGUCGGGUCAGGUUGAUGGAUAUACUUGAUGAUCUUUAAGGUCUUUUCCGACCUAGAUGAUUCUGUCAUACGUGUAUGGGUUCUCAGUACCCUGCAAUUAAUAUAUAUCUUUAGGAGUUGUUUCACCUAGAAUCUUUCUUUCAUCCUCAUCACUGAUUUAAAAAUACAGUGCAAAAAAUAUUUCUCCUUCCUGCUUUUGUCUCUCUCUUAUAUGUAUGUAUUUAUACGCUUGUUGUUGUUUCCUGGUUUUGCUCUGUUGGAGAAUAAGUAAAGUUUAGGGAAUGGAUCUGAUCCAAUGGUUUAAACUUUGCUCCAGUAAAGUCUUUAUUACAUGGUCUAAUUCUAAUUUUUUUUUCCCUUUGCUUUUUACUCUUAGGCACACAUUUGAAUUCUGAACUGGUCUAGGAUCUAGACUUCUUUCUUAACAGCGCAGGUUCAUGUUGAAUUAGAGAUCUCAUAUAUAUCUUAGGUUUUUUUACCUGACAGUUUCAAGUUUUAAGGAUUUUUCUUGCUAUAGAAGGCCCUGGUCAUGAGGCAGUUAUGCUUUUAAAAAGCUGACAUGUACAAGAUCAGACAUAGGACUUCACUGGCCAAAGAAAGCACAUAUUAUCCUAUAAUAAGUUGACUCUAAAUGUUCCACUUUUCCUCCUGAGAUUCUAUUGCCCAGACUCCCUUAUUUCCCCUUUAUCUUCUAAUCUGCUUCAUUGAGUUACACAUCUGUGUAUGUUUACUCCUGUGCAUGUAGUGGUGCAAACCAAUCAAGUGACCACUGAGACAGUAAUACUGCCUCUCAGGUGGUACAUAUAAGUCCACAGAUGUUCUGGGGUACUAACUGCUUCUUCAUAAUUCCACGCAGAAGAAUGGCUUUACAAAAGAGCACAAACAGGUUGAAUUAAUAUUGCCUACUGCUGAUCUGAGUGCCUUCAGUACCCCUUCUCCCAGUAUGAGAUUUAAGUUCCGUCAUUGGAACGGCACUCAUUCAAAAAUUAGACCAUAUAUAGCACAAUGAAACAUUCCUACAACUUGGAACCUUUUCUGAAGCAAAAAUUAUACAAGUAAACUAAAGGCUCAAGGCAAAAAUUAUGACUGAAUGUGAUCUUUUGAGUAAAUAAUGGAUUCUGGUAAUGCAUUAGUUUUCAUUCAGAAAAGCUGCUAAUAUAAUCCUAGUUCCCCAAACAGCAGGCUAAUUGUUGUUCAGUGUUCUUUCUGAUUCCACUUAAAAAUUUCACGGUGGACCUAAUAACAGUAAAAGUUAAGGGGUUUAAUAGGUUGGGUGUUUUUUUUUGUUUGGUUGGUUGGUUGUUUUUUUUUUAAAAGGAAAUCGUCCUUUUGAAAUUAUCUGGAACUAGACUUGAACAAACACUUAAAAUUUUAACAAAGUUAUUCCUUCCAUCUUCCCAUUUUCCUUCUAUUAUGGAAACAUUUUUUUUUAAUGGAAAAAAUUGUGUGUCUCUGUGCAAUUUGGACUACAACAAUGCUGUUCUUAUUGAUGUGCUUUGAGCUCAAUUCACAAUCAAGUGGUGAGAGGGACAGUCUCAAUUGCCACUGAUUUAUAUGUAAAUUGUGAUAAACCAGUACUUUCAAAUAUAAGGCACAAAGGUUCCAUUUUAUAUCUCUCUUUCUCUCUCUCUCUCUCUUUUUUUUUUUAGGUAAGAUUCCAGGAGUAAUUUAAAUGUAGUGAACUUAGUAAAUUCUAAAAUGAUCUCCACAUGAUGAAAUAAUUACUGAUUUUAUGCAAAGAGUAAAAAUGAUACUUAAGAAUACUUAUUAUUUUAAGAGUAUACUGCUGUCUUCAGGACAAAAAGUAAUUGUUUUCAUCAUUGCCUCUGUGGAUUAUAUUGUCCUUAUAAGCAGGUAUUAAAUCAUGCAAAGAGGGGAAGGCUUUUGUUCCUUCGAGAAAACAGAAAACUCUUCAAUAAAUAGCAAAGUGAUUCCUCAGCUGAAUUCAAAAUAUUGAGCUUAUGUAAAAAAAAAUUAUCACAUGAAAAAAAAUCUUUAAUGCUGCAUAAAAGAUUUUGUUCCAUUCUGCAUUGUACUGAAUCAUCAAUAGAGAAAUGGUUCCUUUGUUUUCAGUAGAUGGGGAAUGUUGUGGAUAACUUAUGUGAAAAAUGUAAUACUCCUAUGUCAGUACAACAAAAGAAAAGAAAGGAGUAAAUGUUAUGAGGACUGCUUCAGAAGGGAAUUCUGCUCCAAAGAGGUGAUCUAGAAAGAAAGGAAACAAACUCCUUAGUAGUCAGUCCGUUUAGACAGUGAUGCUCAUUUGUGUGAAGCUUUUUUGUUAUCAUCACAUAUUUCAUACUCAUAUAUUAGGUAAGUCUCUCUGGGAAUUCAAUGUACACAGAACAAAAGAGGAUAUACUUGAUUCAAAGAUAGCUGAAUUUCUCAGGAAGUUCUAAACCUCAGUGGGAUGGCUGCUUGGGAAGUCCUUUUACUGCAGUGCCUUGUGGCCACCAAACCAAGCAGUGAUUGAGCAGCCUUGAAUCCUUGUAAUUAGAAGAAGGAAGCUUAGUGAGAACCAGCUUAGAUGACUUUGUUCAUUUUCCUUAGCUUGUAUAGAACUGCAAGUGUUAAUAUAAUCUAAUAAUAAGAUUGUUUUGGAAAAAAAAAAUCUUGGUUUUAUAUUAAACCACUAAACAAAGGAGUGAAAGAAAAAAUAUAUUGCAAUGUUAUGAACAUCAAAUACUAUCUGAACAAGGAAAUAUUAACAGUUUAUGUGAUAAACUUUAGACAAUACUCUUGCAUCAAUAGCAUCACUGAACUGCUUGUGGGUGGCUGGGGAUAGUUUUUCCAAUAUCCAAUACUAAAAAACCCAUUAUAUUAAAAAAAAAAAAAAAAAGUGAAAAGUGAAUAAGAGCAUAUUGGGUCAUUGGCUUAUUAAUUUUACAACUAGAUGAAACAGUAGAUUUGUUUUACUUUACACAAGCUGUGUUUUUUUUCCUUCCAUGAGCUGAGUGAAUGAGUUUGAUUGGUUCUGUAAGGCUCCGGUUUGAAUUUGGGGGGAUUUUAUGCUUUUCUAAUCUUUAAAUGUAGAGUACUAUAGAAUAUGAUUACCUACCAAUUUCUUAACCAAUAUGUAUUUACUGCUGUCUCUGAGUUUAUAUUAUACUACAAUUUUGGAAGUCUUUUUAUACAUGAUUGUAACUGUUCAUGUCAGAUCUGUCUACAUUCGUAUAUUCAGUGCAUGUACUUGAAGAAUAGCUUAUAGAAAGUAAUUGCAGCCAGUGUUUAUAGGACAUCACAGUUGUGUGAACAGUGCUUAAAAACCUGAAAAAAAUCAGAAAAAAAGAUAGUAUAGAUUAAAAUAUUUUUAGAUUUCAUUUCAAAUAGGAUUAAACAAAAAUUUCAAGUAUUAUCUUUACAACUGUGAAGUUCACCCUAUUCUCAGUGAUGGCAUACUAAAUUUGUCAUGUAACUGUGCCUUAGCUAGCCUGUAGGAUUUAUUUUAGUUAUACAGACUGUCUUGGAAAUACGCAUAGAGGAUGAAGCAGUGACCUAUGGAUUUUAGAAUACUCAGAAAAAUUUUGCAUACUAAUCUUAUUUUUUUUAUAACAAUCUGAAUCUAAUUUACUUGCUGCAAGUGGGGAUGAGUCACAUUAAUUUGUCUUUUUUAACUAGAAAUACCCUACAGCUUGAUCAACACCACUAUCCCGAUUUAUACCAUCAACAUCAUGGAUUGGGUCAGUAUAAGGAAAGGAAAAAAUGAAAGAAAUCAGAAGCAAUUUUAAAACAUCAGAAGAGAAAAAAAAAGUCUUUGAAUAGAUCUGUAAAGACAGCUCAUUAUGUUUAUGAAAAAUCCACAGUUGAUAGUGAUGUACUGAUGAAUAUGACUAUAUAUAUGAAUAUCCACCUCAUCCCUCCUCUUCUGAGUUGUCAUCAAGAAAUAAGAUAUUCUCUCUUACUCUUCUGCCAAAAAACAUCUGGAAUCCUUAGGAAAACAUUGAGGUAUUGAAUCAAAAAGACUCUAUCAGCAUAUUUACUUUAAGCACUCAAAGUCAGUCAUUGACUCAGUUGUAGACUUAAGAUUAUGCAGUUGCUUCAUGUUUUACUAAAAGGUUUAAACAUUAUACUGAAACAGAGGUAAUUACACUGCUUAUAUGCAGUUCUAAUCUACCUUGAGUGUGGGAAAAAAAAUUACUUGUGCAUUUAAAAAUAGUAUUAUAAGAAUUAUUUGUAGGAUUUUUAUGCCUAGGUGCUAGGUGCUCCUAGUGCAGAUUUCACAACUUUUUGGAAACUGUAAGAUUACUAUUUCUUUCUGAGUUGUUUGUCACUCUUAAUAACUACGAGGUAAACAGAAGAAAACACUUCUAUGAAAGCUGCUCUAAUAACUGCUGUAAUGACUACUAACAGAAAUGGCUUCAUUAUUCAUGAGUUGUGCACAGAAUUAGUUUGAGACAUUGAAUGGAUGUGAGGAUCUAUUCAUUUUCUGUUACAAACUCCAUUCUCAGCUACCUGAAAAAAUUAAGGUCAAGAAAAUGGUUCAUCAUGUUUACUCAUUCAAGACAUCACCAAAAUCCAGUUGAUACUAGAACUGGGGACAAACUUACUUUACUAAUUUGUCUUUGUGGGUAAUAUGCAACCAAUCCUUUCCAUAUAAACUACUCCAGAGCCACUAUUAGUAUUUUUACUAGUGUACGGAUAGGAGGAGGUUAGAGAAGCAUAUAUCAUAUGUCUAGGUUAUAUAUAAAGGGACUGGAUAUUGAUUACCUCCAUAUUUUACCUGCUGAUAUAGUCAUCUUUGUGUAAUUUUUGAUAAUUUUACAAGGACACCUUAUUGUUUGUGAGAAGCAAGUUGGAGAGCCUUUCUGUAGUGAUCUGCAUCAGCAUUUAGAAUGCCAUAAUGAGGUUAUAUGUUACACUAUGCUUAUGUGCUUUGCUAUUAAUUUGAAAUAUUCUCCCUGAACAUGAAAUUAAUAGAAGUAAGGAAAAACUAUUGGACCACAAUCUGGAUUAAGCACUUCUUUGUAUCAUAGAACUUCAGAUGCAUGAUUAUUAUGCCAGUAAUCAGAGUAGCAUUGAAUUUAAAAUUGCUGCUUUGUUGCUCUGCAUAUUUUGAUCCAGUAAUUAGGACUGAGAACUGUUACUUCGUUUUACUUUCAGCAUUAGUAACAUUACAGGAUUUCAGAGUAUGCAAAAGAGAAAGGGCAUGAAAAUCAAAGCAAAACUUUCAUUAGAUGAUGAUGCAGUUUUGGAAAUUUAAGGAACUUCAAUUAAGUUUCACACCUUACAGUAUAAUGUAUACCCUAAAUUCUGUAAAACUUAAGCUUAGGUGAAUUAUUUGGAUUUUUGCUGUGACCUUCACUUAAAUGGCUAGUAUUUCUUUCUCUAUCUUUCAGUGCAAUAAUUUUAGACCAUACAAGUGCCAGGUUAACUUUUUUUUACAGGGUAGUAGCUGUGUCUGCAUCAGCAAGUCAUACAUGGAAGAAAUAGAUCAGGAGAUCAAAAUAGCUGGUGGUUGAGACUACUGCCACUAUUAUGUGUACUGCUCUGGGGGCUUAUUUUGAAUUGAUUUAGUCUAGUUUCCUGAUUCAGAUGUCCUCGUCACAUGUGCAGCUCAAAGUCCUUUGAAGAACUAACCUUUUGUUUGGACCCUUAUGAACCCACUACUUGCUAGAUUGCAUUUGAUGUGUGCCUGAUAUAGAGUUUAGUUUCCUCCAAAGAAAAUCUAGCUAGCAUCAGCCUCUCCUCAUUGGGCAAGUGCCCAACUCCCCACCAUAAUGAAUGCCCAUUCCUUAUCAGUGCUGUAUCUUUAUCUCUAUUUUGACAGCAGUUUUCUGACUUUGAGUUCUAUCAUAAUCUUAACAAGCUUCCCAUUAAUUUCUGAAUAGAACAGCAUAUGAAGAUACAGUACUGGAAGUCUGGUGAAAGGAUUAUGGUGUUAGGAAUUAACAGGAAGAAUGAAAACUACUGCACCCACCCAAUACAGAAAAGUACAUACUUCAUUAUCUUAGUAGCUACAUUAUCUGCAAUAUCAAACAUCUUGUUUCGUGUCAAAGGUCAUACCUUGGUGAUGUCUUAUUAGUACAGCCGUCUUUAGCUGGUGUGAGAUAUGUGUUUAUUCACAGUUUGAACAUCACCCCUUCAUUCUCUCCUAUCAUUAGUAACUUAGAGUUUUCAUGUACCCGAUCAACUCUUGACACAAGAUAGGUCUCUAGAAGGAAGAGUGAGUUUUGAACUUUCUGUAAUUAAAUGUACAUUUUUUUAACAUCAGUAAUUGGAAAUCACAAUAGAUUCCAAUCCCCAUGCUAAUAAUUCAUUAUAAAUCUGACAUAUAUGGCGAACAUUUAUAUACCAUAAUUUUAGAGGUAUCUCAACUAGAAAGUUCCUAGCAAUAAUAAAAUAGUAAUAAAAAGACAAAGGCAGACGCAAAAUAGCAUUUUAAAGGUAACAUAGUUGAAUCUGUUAUUGUCCAAAAUUAUUUUCUGCAUUAAACACUAGAUACUAUGAGAAGAACUUAAAGUAAAAGGUACGUACUGUAAUUCUUCUCAUAUUAUGUAUUAGACUGAAAAAAUACACAUAGGUAGUAAGGAAGUUGUGUUCUCCCAUAGCACUGUGAUUAAUGUGUACUUAAAUUUCUUCAAAAGAAUCUCGUAAUAUGUCCAUGAGAUGUUCGUGAUUUUAUUACAUCAAAAUUUAAAAGCAAAUUUCAGGCUUACAAGCUCUGGCUUUUUUGCUGUGAUUGGCUUCUGACAUGAGCACAGGUAGUCCCUGUCUUGUAGUCUUGCAUUCUCGAUUUACAUAGUGGACUUUAAAUUGUUUUACUUCAGGGGAUGUUAUAAUCUCCUUUGAUGUCCAUAAAGUCAGUAGACCUAAUCUGCUUGAAAGAUACUGAAUUUCUUAGAAGCUCAUAUCCGCCUACUAUUUUACAUAGGGAUUAUCAUUACUAGGCUCAUAAAAUGUGUUUUUAACAAUAACAAAAUUUGAUAAGCAGCUUGGCUUCAUAAUGAGAAUUUAGCAAGACAGAAAUGCUACUCAGCAGCAAUAGUUUUUCCCUUGCAGAAACUAUGUCAUGUGAAAAGAAAAGGAAGGAGGAUCUGAUUUCUAGACAGUUCGUAACUGAUUGUGUCAAAAUCUACAUAAACGCAGGACACACAGUUCUCAUGGUAUGUAUAAGAGUUGUUUAAGGAGUUAAUUAUGGAUAGGAAUGAAUUAUCUGUGCAUAUGCUGCUGGUAACAAAUAAUCAACUUUAAAUUCUCAUUUUUAGACCUAAUGGUUGAUAUUCAAUUACUAAUGGUUAUCCAUCUAAAAAGCUAUCUUACAAUACUCAGCUUGAAUUAAAUAUCACUACAUUAAAUUGAAUUAUGAGAAAGAGUAGCUCAUCUAUAUAUGUAGAACAUCUUGAAAUUGAAAUUUGUUAUUCAAAUCGUGAUUCUGUAAUAUGGAAGUGCACAUUUUUAAUAUGAAUAUAGAGAAUUCAGUGCUUGCCUAUUUGAGUUGCAUGUAUGAGCUCAUUAAAAAAGGUAUGCUAAAAAUGAGUAUCUAUAAUAUAUAAUCUAGAAGAUACAAAACCAAAUACAUAGUUACUGAUACCAGUCUGUGUUAAUGUCUGUGGGUUGCUUCAAAAGUACUGCCUUCUAUUUAUUUCCAUGGCAAUUAAAACAGAUACGGAGGACACAAUAACACUGUUUGAUAGAGCAAAUUCUCAGCUACAAAGCACUAUUUUUCCUCAUAUAGUCACCACCAUUAACUCCAUGUGUUGCCAGUGAUGAACAAGUUCCUGCAUGCCAUGCUCGUAAAAUUCUGCAUGGCCAUCAGGGGUGUGGCUUGUCUUUCAUGUUGCUAUCAUCACACUGCUGAAACACACAACCCAUGGCCUCUCUGUGCUCACAACCACUGUUUGGUCCACAUAAAUGUUCACUGAGCAUUGAUGAAAGUCAGCAGGUGUCAUUUUUUAUGCUUAGAGGAAUUCAGUUAUAUGCCUGUGCUCAAUAAUUCACUUCCACAUCAGACACUGUUUUGACAGACUGCCCCUCUGCUGCCAUCUGUUGCAUGGCAACAAAAUGUAAUGGAAUAUUGGUAGGAAGUUUCAGCCUCUACUGACAUACCACUAGCAUCUGCCUCUGAUGUUGUGGGCCAACAUAACAAAAUUGGAGGCAUCAUUUUCAGAGCAGCCCUUGUAGACAGCACCAUAAAUGCCAGUAGAUGAAACCGUAAACAGGGUGUACAGCUUUAAGUUUUCUUUUUUGAAUUAUUCUUUACCAUUUUACAUCACUUUUAAAGACUGCAUUUUGAAAAAUGGUCAGCAUCUCUAAUUCUGUAUGCAUAAGCAGUUGGGCAUGCUAGGGGAAAAACCUAUUUCUAGGAUUUAUGUGUGUAUACUAUCUGAGUGUGCUUAGCAUGACCGACAGUUAUCACGUACCAGAAUGACAGUGUAUUUUGCAUUCUUAUAGGAGAUUUGUGCAAGUAGGUGGAGACAAUGGGAGGUCUAUAUGAAGUUCUAACUGGCUUAAGUUGGUGAUGUUGAAUGUGACUGUUAACGCUAUAUAUUUCUGAAAGUUUUAGAGUCUUUAUUUGUAAUGACAUAUUAAGGAUUCAUUUACUGUUUUCCAACUUACAGAUUUAUUCUGAAGACAUUUUUUAAAGGGCACUCAAUCUUAACUUUCAUUGCGUGGAAACAGAUUUAUGCCCCAUGAAACACAUGGCUACUUAAUUUUGGCUUCUACAUUCUUGUUUAUUUGUAUAUCUUUCUGAAUAUAUUCCUCUUUGUUAUUAGCUUACUCCUGCCUCUUUGCAGACAUGCGUAAUCAGCCACAAGUUUCAAAGGUUGCAGUUGGUAGGAAGGGCAUGGGGAUAACAGCCUGAAGCAAGAAUAGACGAGAAAGUGUGGAUAAAAUCAACUCUGUGUUCUGAUAAGAGAGAAAUAACCUACCAUUUGUACUAUUUACUUGGAGGAAUUUAGAAACUAGCAGGGAGGAAGAUUAGACAGCUUAGGAAGAAUUAGAACCUUGAAAAAAGAUGUAAGAGGAUGGAUGAUAUACCUCAGGAAGAAUAUGUCUUAGCAUAUAGUCUAGGGAGACAAACUUACAUGGCACUUCAUAUAGAUAUGACUGCUGCAAGCUCAGCUUCAAUACUGUAUUAAAUUGAAUAUGUUGCAUCCCAGCUGGAACUAGCUAUGAUAUGUCCUAAGGCACCAUUUUUAUCAGCAGCCUUUUUGGGUUAGCAAACAACAAAUGAACAGUUUCUGUGCUUUGAGCCAGUAAUAAUGAGAACUUGAUAAAUUCAAAUUCUUAAACUGUGAUCAUUAAACUAUUUUGUUAAAAUUUGUUUUUGUUGAUCUCACUGAUGGAGACACCUCUUUGCCUAGUCCCAUCAUGUUGAUUUGAGAAAGACCAUGGAUUCUGACAAGACUUAAGGAUACAGAGAAACAGAAAUUUUAGACAAGCAUAGUGUUUCAUUGUUUAUUAACCAAGUAGUUUUGUUUCUGUGGGAUCAUUUCAUCUAGAAUCACUCUGAUAAAGACACAAAACUACUGUGUUGGUUGUCCUUAACAGAAUGUAAAAAUUUUUGAGUGCUCAUUUCAGACUGACAGACUGGCAGUAAAGUUGCCAACUAAUAUAUCUGGCUGAUCUUUUGUAUGAAAUGCAACAAGUAGCUUGAAGUCCUCCUCCUUUGGGGCCAGCAAAUUGAGAAUGCCAAUAUUCUGUAUCACUUGAGGGUGUUUUGAGGUCAGUUAGUGUUUUUGAUCUAGCAGUUACAAUAAAAAAUCUAGAUACAAAAAAGCCUACUUACAGUAAAUCUGUUGUUGUGGUUAUACUUUUCAGUUAUUUUAGUCCAAGAAUCUGGAGAAUUUCCUUGUAUUUGGAAACAGCGUGAUGCUGUUUGACAGCAGUCCACAUGCCAUGUCUUACUUCUAAUGGCAAGAGCUUGGCUGUCCAUUGAUGUGAAAGGGCUUUUUGGUAAAAUGUGAGUUUUGCUUUUUCCACUGAAAUGGUUGAAAAGUGAUUUGAGUAUAAAAUGGACACAGUGACAAUAGGAAAACCUGAGAGAGAGAAAGAAUGGAUUUCUUCCUAAUUAGUCUGAACAUAAUAAUGUGUAGCAUGUUAGCAGAACAUGUCUGAUUUUUAACAGAGGAAAAAUGAGAGUGCUCAGCACAAGAGAAAAGCUUUGCAUUAAAUAAACCUUUUAUUUUCCAGUGUCAGUUAAGUUCUGCUGAACAAAACCUUGGACCAUUGCUCUAGAAAGCAGCAGGUGAAUGCCACAAGGCAUCAUACUGAGGCCAGGGUGAGGGCAGCCACAGGGCUGGGACAUGGCCAAUGAGGAGAGCUAGGCAAGGCCUGACCAAGGUCCUGGGGGUCUAUGCUCAUACUGAGCCAUCUGCUGGGCAGUGCGGCAUGCCACUGUGCCACGUUCAGUCAAAUGUUGCAGAGCACUGCAAAAGAGACGUGGAGGACAGCUUGCUGAUUUUGUGGGCUUCCUCAGGCAAGCAAAGGCUGAUCAGGCAGAAGCCAGUUGGGUAGCUAUCCCCACAGGCAUCAGGAACCCAGCGUGAGGAGCCCAGAUGUGGUGUGCACUCAUACAUACCAACAUGAUAAAGGAUGUAUUUCCUCACAUGCACUUACUGGCUUUUUGGGUGGGUAGGAACUAGGAGGUUUUCCAGUCCCUCCCUGAUGUUUUCUUAGGGAAUCACCAUGAAAUGUGUUCCAUGUGAUGGCCGCCCAUAUUGCUCUUAGCAAAUACAUCUUUAUCUUGGCUUCAUAUCAAAAUGGGCUAUUGAUUUCAGAUUAACAAAAUCAAGAAAAAUAUAAGUGUGAGAUACUUUUAUUCUUCAAUAAAGUUCUGAGGACAAUAAUUGGAUUUGCCUUCCAGACAGGCACAUAGUAUUGAUUAUGAAUCUGAAACUAUAAUUCAAACAAGGCCAAAACUAAUAGAAAGUAUACACAUGUUCAGUAACAAAUAAAUUAAAAAAUAAAAAAUAUUCAUAUGUUAAAUGCAAGAAUUUUACAACUGUUACACUGAUAUGUUAUUGUAUUACACUUGCCUAAGUGGCUUAGCUGUUUUGUGUAUAACCUAAUAUAUGAUUUCACUGUUAGAGAAUUAUGGAGUAAACUAAAGAAAGGUAAAACACUUUUUAUCACUAACAUAACAUAAAACAUACCUCAGUGACUGUUGUUGUGAAAUACUAUUUACUAUUUUUUUUUCUUUUUGGUCCUUGAUGAAAUUAAUGUGGGAAUGCAGUAUGAUGCCGGAUGCUAAAGUAGAUCAGUAGAUUAAUUUUAGUCUCUUAUGUAUGCAACAGAGUUCUGAACAGUCUUUGGGUGAGGCUGUCAUGCUGAAUAAUUUCUUUAUCCAUUGAUCUCUAUUCAAGACUUGAACUUCAGUAACUGGACAUCUCAACAUCAUAAAAUAGUCAAAACUUGAAAGGAGACAUUAAAUUACAAAAAAAAAAAAAAAAAGGAAAAAAAGUUAUACCUCUUUUCACUUUAAUUUCUUUCUUUCUUUCUUUUUUUCUUUAAUCUCACUAAAAAAAAUAUAUAUCAAAAUGUACUGUACUAUGAUUUUUAUUAACCAGUUCUUACAACUUGCAACUGAUUGUCUCAGCUUGAAUUUAUCUGUAGUAUACAGAAUUCUCUUGCCCAUUCACAAAGAAAAAGUAUUAUUUAGAGUAGUUCUCAUCCACAGCUUCCUCAUUACUGGAUUUAUGUGAAAAGCAGAUCUUAUUUCCCAUGGUUAUUCACACAGAAGUUUUCUUUUUAUGACUUGAAAAAUAGGGUUAUUCUUCUUUCCUUGAUACUUGAUGCUUUUAGUUUAUUCCUAUAGCAAAUAGAAGCAGAGGUUCUCCAGUUCCUAAGUGCUAUUGGUGCUUUUUAUGUGUAAUAACUGGACUUAACACAAAAAAUAAAUUUUUAUCCAGUUAUUUUAUGCCAAAAUCAACACUCUCCACAGUCUGUACAUAUACUGGUAUACUGGUAUUGCUUCUAUCUUGAUUCAGAGUACAGCCACCAUGUUAAUGAAGUGUUAGCAGAUAUGUAAGAAGUUAUCUAAGAAACAUUAUUUUAGUUUUUUGAAACUGCUCUGCAAAAACAUUUCUUUUCAGUUAGUAAUUGCUUAGAGCUUAUAAAGUUGAAUGAAAGAUAAAAUAGAUCUUCCUUUUUUUCAACUACUUAACACAACAAGCAUUCAUUUUUUCCCCUGGAUCUAAACUGGAACUUUUGAAGAAUCUGAUCUUACCUUUCACCCAGAAAGAGGAGGAGAGAUCAAAGAACUCUCUCUGUUACCUUCAGGUAUGCUGCUUCUAUGGUUAUAAAACGUUCCAUGUGUAGGUACUGCUAUCUCUAAGUUUGUGUAUCUGAAAGUAUUACUGAAUAUCUAGUUGCUUAACAUUUCUGUAGUGCUGCAAGAAAAUCUAGAGAAUUAAACCAUGUAAGUAAGAUACAAUUAAAUUCAAUAACUAGAAAAAUGUGAUAACUGUUUGUGCUAACUGGCUAAGAAUUAAUUUCAUUUUUUUUUUUAUUGGUCUGCAGGCACUUGUAUGGUCAAGAAUAAGUUGGAACAAAUAUGGCAUUUGUGCUAAAUCUUCCAAUAAUAAUAAAUGUCACAUUAGAGAAGAGAUAUUUUGACAAUAUUUGAAAUACUAAAAUGAAAUAACCUUAUUAAACAUAUCUGUGAAGCUGCUUACAAACUCCAUGAGGAAAUUUUCUCUCUUUGCUAUAAAGAAAUAGUAAUGUUUGAAAAAUUGUCUGAUGUUGAAAUUCUUAUAUUAGGGCAUUCUGCAUAUAAAAAAGUGAUGACAUGACAGGCUUUUUCACAUUAUGGUUGUUUUCAAAAGAGGAACAGUAAUUUUAAAGUUAUUAAUUGUCUUUUGUUUCUUUACUGGCAAGUUUUCACAGGCAUUUAUUUCAACUAGCAAUGUAGUCAAUUUUUAUCUGUUUUAUGGUCUGAUAGAUGGAGGACGUACAAAUCAAAUAAACAUCAUUAAAGUAGCAUCAGCAUCUAAUCCAUUUAAAUAAAUAUACCCUACAUUUGCAGAUAUAACUCUUUGCAUUGCUGUAAGAAUAAUGGUAAAUAUGAAAAAUAUAAUAUCAAAACAAUAAUUUGUUUUUUUUACCAUAAUGCCAAACAGAGGUAUCCACUGAAAAUAGUGCUUGUAAAAUAACAAUGCUAAACAUGGAUUGUGAAAGGAGAGCCUUUUGAAAAUACUGAUUAAAAAAAAGAAUGAAUGAUAGAAAACUUUCUUUGCAUAAAAGAUGCAAUGUGUCUGUGAAAUAUGUAAGAAGAGAGGCAGGAUCAGAGGUUUGUCUAUGAGAAUAUGAUCAGCAUAAGAUACUUAGGCAGAGAUCCUCAAGAUGACAUCUUUGACAAAGCAUGUCAGUGUUUCCCAGUUUGGUUUUUGCCUCUAGACUAUGAAGGAAAUAGUUUUUCAGUAACAAAUAAUAGUAAAGCCCAUUGAGCUUCACUAUUGUAAUGACAGUUCUGAAGAAAAGUAGGCAUUGCAGAAGACAGAAAAGUGGUGAUCAGAAAGAAUAAUGCCAGUUUGUACAACUAUGGCAAAAGCUCCUUCAAAGCAGAGACAUCAAGGAGAUAGCAUGAACACAUUUGUUUUGAAUACCUAAAAUAAGAGAGGUUUCUUUGCACAACUUUGCUGAAAUGGAAUAUAGGAAGCCAAACAAAUAUUUAAAAAACCUGAUCAUAGCAACCUGAUGAAAAUUUUAUCAGAUGAGCAUAAUCUAUGAUCAUUUAGAGGGUAGAAUUUUGUAGAAUUUUGAAGGGAAAAAGCUGCUGAAGACAGAUCAAGUCAAAGAUGAGGUCUGUAACUACGCACCUGAAUAUAAGAUUUUAGCUAUGCGUUUCCUAUCUGUUACUACUAUGUCUACACUAAAUAUUGUCCAUCCACACAGUUAAGAAAUGGCCUGAAUUUUAAGUGAAAACAUAUGUCCAAUUACAGAAGGAAGAGUUUGUAAAAUAGGAAUUAAUUUGGUAUUUUUUUUUUCAAAAGUUGAUGUCUUAAUAUUUGGAAGUACAGAAUUUGCUGUUGUCUACCUUUCUUUGAAUUAUAAACUCCUCUCUAGUUCCAUGAAUCUGAUUGGGUAGAAAGUUGAAUAAGUUCACUUCAUACUUUUGAUCACUGAUCUCGUCAGUACCUUCUCUGCUUGUACUAUUCUAAUUUGAAUGGGCCAAAAAAGACUUAAGACAUGGGAUAAAAGCUUAAGAAACUUCAAGAACUUAAUUGUGGAAAUACACCAUGAAUGUUUGUGCAAAAUUUGUCACAGAGGUGCAGCCACUUUGGUGAUGAAGGACAUUUUUCACUACAGUGAGAAAGGCUCUGUGGUUAUGCUAUACCAUUAGUCAGCAAGAAUAUUGUGUAAGGUAUGAAGGAGAGGAGGGAGCUCUGGUUUUGGUAGUCUUUUAUUGAAGGGACUGAAGGAUUUGUUAGUCAGACCAUGUUUCAUUUUGGAAGGACUAUUCAUGUAUGGAGGGCAAAGUAGAACUGUUAGUGCAGAACUUAAUUAGUGUUUGUGGGUGAUUUUUUGUAGAAGUGAAACAGAGAUAUAAGGAAAUAGGGCCAAGGAAGGAGUCCUGUGGAGCAAAGGCGGGGAGAGAGGUGUGGGAUACUGUAGGAACCAUAUUCCAAAAAGGUUAUGGAAGAACAUUUUAUGAAAGGGACAGCUUGGAGAAAAUGAAGCUGCCUCACUUUCAAAUAGCUGGAGACUGUGGAGAUACUUGCAUAUAUAUGUGUGACACAACAAUAAUUUUGUGAUGACAGUGAUUGAUUUAUUUUUUGAUUUUGACAAUUGAUUUUUAAGACUGACCAUCAAAUCAUUACAUAUGUGCACAUAUUAGAUUUUGUAUCUGUAUCUGUAAAUAUGCAUAAGCAGCACUGCAUAGGACUUAAAAUCUAGCUCCAGAUGUUAUGUAUUUUUUGUUUUCUACUCAUAAACUAAAAUGAAUGACAGAGACAUUUAUACACAGUCCCAAAAAACAUUCGUGCUGGCAAUUCCUUCCUUGGACAAUAAUGAUAAAUACUCUCUACUUCAUAUGAGAUCAGGAAAUCACUUGCCUUUAAGCCAUCCAAUCUAAGGGUAUUAAUUAUGUAUUACAUCUCAUGAACCUUCUAAAUUUAGAUAGCCUUGCAGGGAUUGGUGUGAUUUAUUAAUAUACUGACAAAUAAUUAGCUGAGGAAUCUAUCAUGUAUAUUUCAUCUGUAGCCUGAAACUUCAACCUCUACCUCUUGGGAACAUGAAAAAUCUAUUAGUCUGUCUAUCACUUCACCAGUUACUGAAGACUGAUUCUUUUCGCCAUUUUGUAUAGCUAAAAUACAACAAGGAAAACUGAUGUUCUGUUGUAUAAAAGUGAUGUUUCAGCACCCCUGAAACUGAUGGUGUAAGUAAUCAUACAUAAGAGUGAAGGAUGCUUCUGAACCAAAGCAAUUAAAGGCUCUUAAUAAAUGGAAGGCUUGAUUAAGCACCUGGUUAUGGUUACUGACAAAUAAUGCACUUACCAAUGCUGGUUUAACUGCUGUUAUGGGAACAAAGGAAGCUGUUUUCAGCACUAUAGCCUAAAGACUUCUGACUGUUUUUACUUUAGCAGAUAUUAAAAGGGUUGCAACUCAACUUCAUUAGCAUUGUUUUGAACAAAGAUUAUGGAGAAUAGAAAUUGAAGAUUAGAUUUCUGAAGUAAUUUUGGUAGAGUAGAAAGACUCCUUAAGUAGAAAUAAUUAGCCACUCUGCAAGCUACUUAUUAAAGAUAUCAGGGUGCACAAAAACUCAUGCAUGCCAACACUGAAGAAACAAUGAAAAUUUUAAAUUCCUAUGUGAAAAGAAUAUGAACAUCGCAAAGUUGAUUACCAACAGUCAGAAAACACAGAGCUAUUCUUGCUUUUGUGGCCUGCAAAGUGUGUGUUUCACUGUUAACAUUGUAAUAUCUUCCAUUCUUUUUUUCUUACUGUUCACACUUCUUGGAGUAUGAAGGACAAUACACUCCACUAUACAACCUCUUUUGUCUGCACUUGUAUUGUCUGACUUAGUCCUGUCUCAUCUCCCUUACCUCUUCUCUCUAGAAAAUAUAUUACAGCUGUCUGUCAUUAUGUGACUUCCAUUUGCUUCCAUCAUUGAGAACUAUCUAGAAAACCAUACUUAGUCUUUUAACACCAAAUUACAGCAUACAGUAUCUCUCUGCAGGGAUGCAGAUGCCUGAUGUCUAGGAGUUCUAAGCAUGUGGAACAUGCUCAGUAAAACUAGGAGCUUCAUCCUAGCUCCCUGCCGAGCUCUUGAUAGUCAAUCCAGAGAACACAUGCAGAUAAGUUCUUCGAGCUCAUAACUUGAAUGAGUACUACUUGCAUCUUAGGUAUACUUACAUUAAACUGUAUAUUUAUAAAAACAGAUCUCUUACCAGGCUCAUGCAGUUUCAGGAAAGAAUGACAGUACAAAUUUAGAAAAAAGCCACAUGUGAAGGAACUAGUAUGAGAGAUGACUCUAAGUGAUUAGUAAAAUGGCAGAGGGGAACAAAAGAUUUUCACUGAUAGUUAUUCCUCUCUCAUCCCUCUAAAACUCCUUCAAUUCUCAUGCUCACAAUAGUUACUAGUGACCUUUUUCCACCGCCAUUUUCCAAGCUGCAAAUUUCCUAUAGUUGACUGCGGCAGCUCUAAAUCCAGAUGGUAGGUUUUGAAAUCCUGGUUCUCAUUUGUACUCCAACAAAGUAAUUAGCAUCCCCUUGCAGCAAAGCACUGUAAAUAAAAUAAAAUUUCUCUCUUCACACUGUGUCAGCUAUUGCUGCUUGGUCAGAGUCACUGUCAGUAAGUAUUCAGACCAUCAUAGAAGGGACAAACGACAUUUGUUGUUUUCAAACCAAAGUUAAAAGGCUCUGAUGAACUUCCUCACAGUGUUGCAAAACAAACAAACAACAACAACAAAACACCAAAAAAACCCACCACCACUUCCAAAUGCCCUUAACUACUGGAAACUGGAUCUGGACUGCUACUAAUGGUCAUGAGUAACAGAUAUUACCUCCUAAAGAAUAGUGAGAACUACUUUAAACUUUUCUGUGAAACAAAUGAGCACAAGUUUGGGAUUUGACAGUAAUUUAUCUUCUCUUUUCUUGAGAAUUCUUUAAAUGAUUUCAAAGCCAUUUAAAAGUGCUCAGUUUCAUUUUGCUGUUGGUAUACUUGUCCUGUUCAUUCACCAUUCUCUACUUCUUUUUUUUGGAAAAAAAGAAAAAAAAAAAAAAGGAAAAAAAAAGUUGUGGUAAACAAUUUCUAUUGGAAUGUACAAAUUGUGUUGCUUUUUGUUUUUAUUUUUUUUAUGACAGCUAAUAUUUGAAAACUUACCAAUGGAUAGAUAUUAAUAACACUGUAUCUUGGGAGGAGAGUUGAAAUUAAUUUGCCUUCACUAUUUGCUAUAUAAAACAAACUAGGAGCAUUUCAUAGCCCCCUACAUGCAGCAUAGGCUUCAGAAUAUGUUUACUGUCAUGUGUACUAAUACAAUUGCUGUUAGCUCAGAGAACCUGUUAGCAUUUUAUAACCUAUUUUAUUAUUAUUAUUAUUAUUUAUUAUUAUUAAUAAUAAGGUUAGA